RNAcentral lists this ribosomal RNA (494 nucleotides) under uncultured bacterium. Its description in RNAcentral is "bacterial SSU rRNA". It matches the Rfam family "Bacterial small subunit ribosomal RNA", at positions 28 to 478 of the family's 1533-position model. The record is from RNAcentral.
GAUGAACGCUGGCGGCGUGCCUAAUACAUGCAAGUCGAACGCAUUGUGGUUGAAAUGAUAUGAAGAACUUGUUCAGAUUUGAUUUUCAACAUUGCAAUGAGUGGCGAACGGGUGAGUAACACGUGGGAAACCUACCUCUUAGCAGGGGAUAACAUUUGGAAACAAAUGCUAAUACCGUAUAAUAAUUAAAACCGCAUGGUUUUAGUUUAAAAGAUGGUCUUGCUAUCACUAAGAGAUGGUCCCGCGGUGUAUUAGUUAGUUGGUGAGGUAAUGGCUCACCAAGACAGUGAUACAUAGCCGAGUUGAGAGACUGACCGGCCACAAUGGGACUGAGACACGGCCCAUACUCCUACGGGAGGCAGCAGUAGGGAAUCUUCCACAAUGGACGAAAGUCUGAUGGAGCAACGCCGCGUGUGUGAUGAAGGUUUCGGCUCGUAAACACUGUUGUAAGAGAAGAAUGACAUUGAGAGUAACUGUUCAAUGUGUGACGGUAU